GCCAAGACGUAAAACUACUCACACACGAAACGCCAGGGUAUUACGAGCUUAGCUUGAAACCCAAAGGACUUGACGGUGCCCCACACCACUAGAGGAGCCUGUUCUAUAAUCGAUGACCCACGUUAUACCCAACCAUUUUUUGCUUUCAGCCUGUAUACCUCCGUCGUAAGCUUACCCUAUGAAGAUAUUAUAGUAGGCCCAAUAGCCAAACGCCACAACGUCAGGUCAAGGUGCAGCUUAUAUAAUGGAAGUAAUGAGCUACAAUUUCUAAACCAGAACAAGCAGACACUAUAUGAAAACAUAGUGAUAAGAAGGAUUUAGCAGUAAAUAAAGAAUAGAGAGCUUUAUUAAAACUAGCAUGGGGUG
RNAcentral lists this ribosomal RNA (366 nucleotides) under Philautus sp. WHT2658. RNAcentral's name for it is "partial 12S ribosomal RNA". It matches the Rfam family "Bacterial small subunit ribosomal RNA", at positions 794 to 1381 of the family's 1533-position model. Lineage: Eukaryota; Metazoa; Chordata; Amphibia; Anura; Rhacophoridae. The record is from RNAcentral.